GACGAACGCUGGCGGCGUGCUUAACACAUGCAAGUCGAACGGAAAGGCCCCCUUGUGGGGUACUCGAGUGGCGAACGGGUGAGUAACACGUGAGUAACCUACCCUUGACUUUUGUAUAACUUCAUGAAACUGGGGCUAAUACCGGAUAGCAGCUUCUGCUGCAUGGUGGGGGUUGGGAAGUUUAGGCGGUUUGGGAGGGACUCGCGGCUUAUCAGCUCGUUGGUGGGGUAGUGGCUCACAACGGCUUUGACGGGUAGCCGGCAUGAGAGGGUGACCAGCCACAUUGGGACUGAGAUACGGCCCAGACUCCUACGGGAGGCAGCAGUGGGGAAUAUUGCACAAUGGGCGGAAGCCUGAUGCAGCAACGCCGCGUGCGGGAUGACGGCCUUCGGGUUGUAAACCGCUUUCGCCUGUGACGAAGCGUGAGUGACGGUAAUGGGUAAAGAAGCACCGGCUAACUACGUG
This 465-nucleotide ribosomal RNA is filed under the name uncultured bacterium. RNAcentral describes it as "partial 16S ribosomal RNA". It matches the Rfam family "Bacterial small subunit ribosomal RNA", at positions 28 to 507 of the family's 1533-position model. The record is from RNAcentral.